GGAGGGGUGGGUGAGUGGUUAAAACCGACAGGCUGUAAACUUGUUGCCGAAAGGCUACGCAGGUUCGAAUCCUGCCCCCUCCACCA
This 86-nucleotide transfer RNA is filed under the name Dehalococcoidia bacterium. RNAcentral's name for it is "tRNA-Tyr". It matches the Rfam family "tRNA". From Rfam's summary of the family: Transfer RNA (tRNA) molecules are approximately 80 nucleotides in length. Their secondary structure includes four short double-helical elements and three loops (D, anti-codon, and T loops). The record is from RNAcentral. Lineage: Bacteria; Bacillati; Chloroflexota; Dehalococcoidia.